GUCUUUUUGGUAUUAAUUUAAGGUUUAACCUGCCCAAUGAAUAUUUGAAUGGCCGCGGUAUUUUGACUGUGCUAAGGUAGCAUAAUCAUUAGUUUUUUAAUUAAAAGCUGGAAUGAAGGGUUGGAUGAAAAAUUAACUGUCUCUAGUUAAAUUAAUUAGAAUUUUAUUUUUAAGUUAAAAAGCUUAAAUAUUUUUAAAAGACGAGAAGACCCUAUAGAGUUUAAUAUAUUUAUUUUAUUGAUCUUUAGAAUUUAUUUUUUAUAAUUAUAGUAUAUUUGAUUGGGGUGAUUAAAAAAUUAAAUAAACUUUUUUUUUAAAAAUUUAUAUUGAUUAAUAAAUUAAUGAUCCAAAAAUUUUGAUUAUAAGAUAAAUUACCUUAGGGAUAACAGCGUAAUUUUAUUAAAGAGUUCAAAUCGAAAAUAAAGUUUGCGA
This 432-nucleotide ribosomal RNA is filed under the name Longitarsus salviae. RNAcentral describes it as "partial 16S large subunit ribosomal RNA". Lineage: Eukaryota; Metazoa; Arthropoda; Insecta; Coleoptera; Chrysomelidae. The record is from RNAcentral.